UACGUAGGGGGCUAGCGUUGUCCGGAAUCAUUGGGCGUAAAGAGCGUGUAGGCGGCCCGGUAAGUCCGCUGUGAAAGUCCGGGGCUCAACCCCGGGAGGCGGGCGGAUACUGUCGGGCUAGAGUCCGGAAGAGGCGAGUGGAAUUCCUGGUGUAGCGGUGAAAUGCGCAGAUAUCAGGAGGAACACCAAUGGCGAAGGCAGCUCGCUGGGACGGUACUGACGCUGAGGCGCGAAAGCGUGGGGAGCAAACAGG
RNAcentral lists this ribosomal RNA (253 nucleotides) under uncultured bacterium. RNAcentral describes it as "partial 16S ribosomal RNA". It matches the Rfam family "Bacterial small subunit ribosomal RNA", at positions 524 to 776 of the family's 1533-position model. The record is from RNAcentral.